CAGCACCUCAAGUGGUCAGGAUGAUUAUUGGGCCUAAAGCAUCCGUAGCCGGCGCUGUAAGUUUUCGGUUAAAUCUGUACGCUCAACGUACAGGCUGCCGGGAAUACUGCAGCGCUAGGGAGUGGGAGAGGUAGAUGGUACUCGGUAGGAAGGGGUAAAAUCCUUUGAUCUAUUGAUGACCACCUGUGGCGAAGGCGGUCUACCAGAACACGUCCGACGGUGAGGGAUGAAAGCUGGGGGAGCAAACCGGAUUAGAUACCCGAGUAGUUC
This 270-nucleotide ribosomal RNA is filed under the name uncultured archaeon. RNAcentral describes it as "partial 16S ribosomal RNA". It matches the Rfam family "Archaeal small subunit ribosomal RNA", at positions 477 to 747 of the family's 1478-position model. The record is from RNAcentral.